This 250-nucleotide ribosomal RNA is filed under the name uncultured bacterium. RNAcentral describes it as "partial 16S ribosomal RNA". It matches the Rfam family "Bacterial small subunit ribosomal RNA", at positions 57 to 305 of the family's 1533-position model. The record is from RNAcentral.
GCAAGUCGAACGGUAACAGGCAGAGCUUGCUCUGCGCUGACGAGUGGCGGACGGGUGAGUAACGCGUAGGAAUUUACCUAGUAGUGGGGGACAACCCGAGGAAACUCGGGCUAAUACCGCAUACGCCCUAAGGGGGAAAGCAGGGGAUCUUCGGACCUUGCGCUAUUAGAUGAGCCUGCGUCGGAUUAGCUUGUUGGUGGGGUAAAGGCCUACCAAGGCGACGAUCCGUAGCUGGUCUGAGAGGACGAUC